AAUAGUUAAUGUUUUAUCCAAAGACAUAUAGGAACUUUACUUCACUUACUAUUAACCAUUAUUUAUAAUGAUAGACAUGUUCAGACUGCAAAAAAAGCUAUGGCUAAUGACAUAGAAAGGGGUUUGAGUCAGUAACACAGCCCAUACAGAGGAGAGCAAACCCGCUGAUGCUUAAUGCCCCUGCCAUGGCAGUGUCUACAGGGAACAAGGGG
Molecule: non-coding RNA, 212 nt
Organism: Pelobates cultripes (western spadefoot toad)
Lineage: Eukaryota; Metazoa; Chordata; Amphibia; Anura; Pelobatidae
Source: the annotation of a GenBank genome assembly